RNAcentral lists this ribosomal RNA (1232 nucleotides) under metagenome. RNAcentral describes it as "bacterial SSU rRNA". It matches the Rfam family "Bacterial small subunit ribosomal RNA", at positions 242 to 1499 of the family's 1533-position model. The record is from RNAcentral.
UAGCUAGUUGGUGAGGUAAUGGCCCACCAAGGCGACGAUCGGUAGCCGGACUGAGAGGUUGAACGGCCACAUUGGGACUGAGACACGGCCCAGACUCCUACGGGAGGCAGCAGUGGGGAAUAUUGCACAAUGGGGGAAACCCUGAUGCAGCGACGCCGCGUGGAGGAAGAAGGUCUUCGGAUUGUAAACUCCUGUUGUUGAGGAAGAUAAUGACGGUACUCAACAAGGAAGUGACGGCUAACUACGUGCCAGCAGCCGCGGUAAAACGUAGGUCACAAGCGUUGUCCGGAAUUACUGGGUGUAAAGGGAGCGCAGGCGGGCGAUCAAGUUGGAAGUGAAAUCCAUGGGCUCAACCCAUGAACUGCUUUCAAAACUGAUUGUCUUGAGUAGUGCAGAGGUAGGCGGAAUUCCCGGUGUAGCGGUGGAAUGCGUAGAUACCGGGAGGAACACCAGUGGCGAAGGCGGCCUACUGGGCACCAACUGACGCUGAGGCUCGAAAGUGUGGGUAGCAAACAGGAUUAGAUACCCUGGUAGUCCACACCGUAAACGAUGAUUACUAGGUGUUGGAGGAUUGACCCUUUCAGUGCCGCAGUUAACACAAUAAGUAAUCCACCUGGGGAGUACGACCGCAAGGUUGAAACUCAAAGGAAUUGACGGGGGCCCGCACAAGCAGUGGAGUAUGUGGUUUAAUUCGACGCAACGCGAAGAACCUUACCAAGUCUUGACAUCCUGCGACGAUGCUAGAAAUAGUAUUUUCCUUCGGGACGCAGAGACAGGUGGUGCAUGGUUGUCGUCAGCUCGUGUCGUGAGAUGUUGGGUUAAGUCCCGCAACGAGCGCAACCCUUAUGGUCAGUUACUACGCAAGAGGACUCUGGCCAGACUGCCGUUGACAAAACGGAGGAAGGUGGGGAUGACGUCAAAUCAUCAUGCCCUUUAUGACUUGGGCUACACACGUACUACAAUGGCGUUAAACAAAGAGAAGCAAGACCGCGAGGUGGAGCAAAACUCAGGAACAACGUCCCAGUUCGGACUGCAGGCUGCAACUCGCCUGCACGAAGUCGGAAUUGCUAGUAAUCGCAGAUCAGCAUGCUGCGGUGAAUACGUUCCCGGGCCUUGUACACACCGCCCGUCACACCAUGAGAGCCGGGGGGACCCGAAGUCGGUAGUCUAACCGCAAGGAGGACGCCGCCGAAGGUAAAACUGGUGAUUGGGGUGAAGUCGUAACAAGGUAA